Molecule: long non-coding RNA, 251 nt
Organism: Lagopus leucura (white-tailed ptarmigan)
Lineage: Eukaryota; Metazoa; Chordata; Aves; Galliformes; Phasianidae
Exons: 3
Source: RefSeq, a predicted model, not a curated record
CCCGUUCCCACCCCGAUCCCGCUCCGUUCCCAUCCCACCCCUCCACCCCUCAUGCCUUUGUUUGUUUCCCAGUGACACGGCACAUUAGAGAGCUCCUGGAAAGGAACACAAAGAAGAAACCCAAAUUGAGAAAGAAACCCAAGCCCCACCCCGAGGAGCACGAUGGGGUGGCCAUCAGCACAUAUGCCAAGUACUGCUACAACAAGCUGCAGAAGGCCGCCCUCACUGGAGCCAAGAAGGACCUUCCCCCC